GAUGCCCCCAGAGGUAUUACACGUGUGGCUGCUGUGUGACCUGUGCGUCAGUAAGCGGCAGAGAGGAGAGAGGCUCUGUGUCGAUGUUCAGUGUUCUAACCUGUGAACAUCUGAAAGGUUAGUAACUUAACUCU
Molecule: small nucleolar RNA, 134 nt
Organism: Acomys russatus (golden spiny mouse)
Lineage: Eukaryota; Metazoa; Chordata; Mammalia; Rodentia; Muridae
Product: small nucleolar RNA SNORA17
Exons: 1
Source: RefSeq, a predicted model, not a curated record